Molecule: non-coding RNA, 448 nt
Organism: Paramuricea clavata
Lineage: Eukaryota; Metazoa; Cnidaria; Anthozoa; Malacalcyonacea; Plexauridae
Source: the annotation of a GenBank genome assembly
CAACAACAAUGACAACAAAAGCAACAACAACAACCUUGACUACGACAACAACAACAACCUUGACUACGACAUCAACAACUACAACAGCCUUGAUUACGACAACAACAACAACAACAACAACAACAACAACAACAACAACAACAUGCUGAUGAACAAAAACAUGCACUUAAUUGUUUUGAAAUUUCUGAUGUAGUUUAUGAGAUUUUAGUCAAUUUGGUGUAGCUGUUUCAAUGCUGUCACCAUGGUCCUAGCCAGUGCACUCACUUAUGAGAGGCAUUCACCCCCUGAAAGUAUUAAUAAUAUUAAUAUGGCAGAUGUUCGGGCGGUGAUUGCCCUUGGCUAGAAACUUGGCAACAGCAUUUUGAUGACAAAUCAUUGCGAAACAUAAAUAAAUAUAUCAUGAUUCUUUGGCUGAGUCGACCUUAUGUUUGUCUCUAUUCUGUUGCAU